Molecule: long non-coding RNA, 726 nt
Organism: Selaginella moellendorffii
Lineage: Eukaryota; Viridiplantae; Streptophyta; Lycopodiopsida; Selaginellales; Selaginellaceae
Exons: 3
Source: RefSeq, a predicted model, not a curated record
CUUUCGGUGACGGUGGAUAUAAACGGAAGGGUCUCGGCCGAGUCCGCUGGCUCAGAAUUUCUUAGUGACUCGUCGUGAUUCGGCCCCAGCAAGUCUCGGACAACAUCCGACCAGGCAAAGAGCCUCAAUCGUACUCCAAGGUCGCUUCUCCAGAGGGAAGUUUCUGUCGAUCUCUACAGAUUUGGGGCAGCCGGGAUGAGAGCAGUCGUCUGAGGCUGGUGAUGCGUGCUCGUGUUCGUUGCAAGGCUGAGUCCGCUUGCUCAGUCCCUCGAUUGCUAACGUGGUGGUGGCCCUUCGCAUAAAGGAAGCGCACUAUAGGCGGUAUCAAUCUCCUGCAGUAACUCUCAUUCGACCUUUGGCUUGUUCGUUCUCUAAAAGUUUUUCUCUGGGCACAGUGGAUGGUGCAGAAACGAGCUUGAGAGCCGACGUCUACAGCGGCGUGAUUUUAUGGGAGGUCGCCACGGAACUAGUUCCUUGCAGGGACGGAAUGAAUCCAAUGCAAGGAAGUUCUUCCAGCACGAGGAGUCCUGCAAGCCGGAUGAUCUGUGACCGAAGCGAUUGCCUCCAAAGAUCUCCAGCUGGUCGCAAGUCUGGUGGAACUCCUCUUCGACUAGGUGGCAGAAACCCAAAAACCAGGUGAAUUAGAUAUCACAGUACAGAAACAAAAUUAGAAACGUAAGUGACUCUUCUACGGACGAACUAAAUAAAACCAAGAAACUAAAAGAC